Molecule: ribosomal RNA, 420 nt
Filed under: uncultured Stenotrophomonas sp.
Lineage: Bacteria; Pseudomonadati; Pseudomonadota; Gammaproteobacteria; Lysobacterales; Lysobacteraceae
Description: bacterial SSU rRNA
Rfam family: Bacterial small subunit ribosomal RNA
Source: RNAcentral
UGAGGAAUACAUCGGAAUCUACUUUUUCGUGGGGGAUAACGUAGGGAAACUUACGCUAAUACCGCAUACGACCUACGGGUGAAAGCAGGGGAUCUUCGGACCUUGCGCGAUUGAAUGAGCCGAUGUCGGAUUAGCUAGUUGGCGGGGUAAAGGCCCACCAAGGCGACGAUCCGUAGCUGGUCUGAGAGGAUGAUCAGCCACACUGGAACUGAGACACGGUCCAGACUCCUACGGGAGGCAGCAGUGGGGAAUAUUGGACAAUGGGCGCAAGCCUGAUCCAGCCAUACCGCGUGGGUGAAGAAGGCCUUCGGGUUGUAAAGCCCUUUUGUUGGGAAAGAAAUCCAGCUCGGUUAAUACCCGUGUUGGGAGUGACGGUACCCAAAGCAAUAAUCACCGGGCUAACUUCGUGCCAGCAGCCGC